ACUGGUUCCUUGCAGCUGUGACUCCCCAGGGUAAGAGGCAAAGAGCCACCAGGUCCCAGCUGAGGAAGCCCUGUGGUCAGCUCAGACAGACAGUGUUGUGCUCAUAAAUGGUUCACAACCAGCUCUCCAGAGGAAACGCAGCCUGAUUUGUAGUGGCAUCUGCCAAUUUCCAUGCAUAAAUACUUCCACCAUGGUGGAUUUCAAGCUACUGACAUCACUGAACAUGGAAUUGGGAAGAGAUGUACAUAACACAUUCUGAUACAUCACAGGUUCAAAGUACUGGCCCCCCAGGCUCUAUCCCUACCAGGCCAGAAUUUGGAAGGGGCUGUAUUUGUCUACUUAUGUCCAUAGCUCCUGCCGGGCAGCCCCUUCCCCACAGCCACAGUUCUCCCCGCUCACAGUGCCCUCUCCCUACCCCUUUGGCCCAGGGAUAGACAGGCUUCCUGCUCUUGCUGGUCCCAGGAAGCUGCACCAUUCCUUGUCAGUUCCUGUAACCCUGCCCACAUCUCUGAGAGGAGACCCUUCAUUACAGUCUCGUCUGUCACUGGUUUCACUGCAGGGAUGCGGACUGAAGCCGAAGCAGGUGUUAGUAAUUGUCGUACCUACAGACGAGGAAACCGAGCCUCCAUGAAGUGAAGUGACUCACCCACAGUCACACAGCUAAUAUAUGCCAGAGCCCACAGCAGAACCCAGACGUACUGAGGCCAAGUUCCAUGCCAGCAUAAAACAGGGGCCUGCUGAAAUGCCUAGCGCUUCAACAAGGUGAGCUCUUGUAGGCCAGGGGCCAAAUGACGGACAUCAUGUGCCACCAACACCACACAGAUGAAGGCGGUGGGCCAGGGCAGAGUUCUGGUUCUCCUGCAUCCUAAGAUGAAAGCUAAAGUCAGAAAGGAGGGAGGAAGACAAUGACGACAUUUAAAACCUAAAAACAGCGGCCAUUUCCAACUCAG
This 950-nucleotide long non-coding RNA is filed under the name Homo sapiens (human). RNAcentral describes it as "non-protein coding lnc-EDRF1-1:22". Lineage: Eukaryota; Metazoa; Chordata; Mammalia; Primates; Hominidae. The record is from RNAcentral.